This 450-nucleotide ribosomal RNA is filed under the name uncultured bacterium. Its description in RNAcentral is "bacterial SSU rRNA". It matches the Rfam family "Bacterial small subunit ribosomal RNA", at positions 330 to 794 of the family's 1533-position model. The record is from RNAcentral.
UCCAGACUCCUACGGGAGGCAGCAGUGGGGAAUAUUGGACAAUGGGGGGAACCCUGAUCCAGCGACGCCGCGUGAGUGAAGAAGUAUUUCGGUAUGUAAAGCUCUAUCAGCAGGGAAGAAAGAAAUGACGGUACCUGUCGAAUAAGCCACGGCUAACUACGUGCCAGCAGCCGCGGUAAUACGUAGGUGGCAAGCGUUGUCCGGAUUUACUGGGUGUAAAGGGCGUGUAGCCGGGCUGACAAGUCAGAUGUGAAAUCCGGGGGCUCAACCCCCGAACUGCAUUUGAAACUGUUGGUCUUGAGUAUCGGAGAGGCAGGCGGAAUUCCUUGUGUAGCGGUGAAAUGCGUAGAUAUAAGGAGGAACACCAGUGGCGAAGGCGGAUGACUGGACGGCAACUGACGGUGAGGCGCGAAAGCGUGGGGAGCAAACAGGAUUAGAUACCCGAGUAGU